This 500-nucleotide ribosomal RNA is filed under the name uncultured bacterium. Its description in RNAcentral is "partial 16S ribosomal RNA". It matches the Rfam family "Bacterial small subunit ribosomal RNA", at positions 28 to 507 of the family's 1533-position model. The record is from RNAcentral.
GACGAACGCUGGCGGCGUGCCUAAUACAUGCAAGUCGAGCGGACUGAUUAAGAGCUUGCUCUUAUGACGUUAGCGGCGGACGGGUGAGUAACACGUGGGCAACCUGCCCUGUAGAUCGGGAUAACACCGAGAAAUCGGUGCUAAUACCGGGUAAUAUCUGAGAUCACAUGAUCUUAGGUUAAAAGAUGGCUCCGGCUAUCACUACAGGAUGGGCCCGCGGCGCAUUAGCUAGUUGGUAAGGUAAUGGCUUACCAAGGCGACGAUGCGUAGCCGACCUGAGAGGGGGAGCGGCCACACUGGGACUGAGACACGGCCCAGACUCCUACGGGAGGCAGCAGUAGGGAAUCUUCCGCAAUGGACGAAAGUCUGACGGAGCAACGCCGCGUGAGUGAUGAAGGGUUUCGGCGCGUAAAGCUCUGUUGUUAGGGAAGAAACAGUACCGAACGAACUAGGUCGGUACCUUGACGGUACCUAACCAGAAAGCCACGGCUAACUACGUG